Molecule: ribosomal RNA, 492 nt
Filed under: uncultured bacterium
Lineage: Bacteria
Description: partial 16S ribosomal RNA
Rfam family: Bacterial small subunit ribosomal RNA
Source: RNAcentral
AGUGAACGCUGGCGGUAGGCCUAACACAUGCAAGUCGAACGGCAGCACAGUAAGAGCUUGCUCUUACGGGUGGCGAGUGGCGGACGGGUGAGGAAUACAUCGGAAUCUACUUUUUCGUGGGGGAUAACGUAGGGAAACUUACGCUAAUACCGCAUACGACCUACGGGCGAAAGCAGGGGAUCUUCGGACCUUGCGCGAUUGAAUGAGCCGAUGUCGGAUUAGCUAGUUGGCGGGGUAAAGGCCCACCAAGGCGACGAUCCGUAGCUAGUCUGAGAGGAUGAUCAGCCACACUGGAACUGAGACACGGUCCAGACUCCUACGGGAGGCAGCAGUGGGGAAUAUUGGACAAUGGGCGCAAGCCUGAUCCAGCCAUACCGCGUGGGUGAAGAAGGCCUUCGGGUUGUAAAGCCCUUUUGUUGGGAAAGAAAAGCAGCAGGUUAAUACCCCGCUGUUCUGACGGUACCCAAAGAAUAAGCACCGGCUAACUUCGUG